Molecule: ribosomal RNA, 690 nt
Filed under: uncultured bacterium
Lineage: Bacteria
Description: bacterial SSU rRNA
Rfam family: Bacterial small subunit ribosomal RNA
Source: RNAcentral
AGGAUUAGAUACCCCGGUAGUCCACGCCGUAAACGAUGGAUACUCGCUGCGGGCUAAAGAUUGUCCGUGGCUUAGCGAAAGCGAUAAGUAUCCCACCUGGGGAGUACGCCGGCAACGGUGAAACUCAAAGGAAUUGACGGGGGCCCGCACAAGUGGUGGAGCAUGUGGUUUAAUUCGAUGAUACGCGAGGAACCUUACCUAGGCUAGAAUGCGCGUGACCGGCUCAGAGAUGAGCCUUUCCUUCGGGACACAAAGCAAGGUGCUGCAUGGCCGUCGUCAGCUCGUGCCGUGAGGUGUUGGGUUAAGUCCCGCAACGAGCGCAACCCCUAUGGUUAGUUGCCAGCACGUAAUGGUGGGGACUCUAGCCAGACUGCCCGCGCAAGCAGUGAGGAAGGCGGGGACGACGUCAGGUCAUCAUGGCCCUUACGCCUAGGGCGACACACGUGCUACAAUGGACGGUACAGCGGGUAGCUACCAGGCGACUGGAUGCCAAUCUCGAAAAGCCGUUCUCAGUUCGGAUUGGAGUCUGCAACUCGACUCCAUGAAGCUGGAAUCACUAGUAAUCGCGCAUCAGCCAUGGCGCGGUGAAUACGUUCCCGGGCCUUGUACACACCGCCCGUCAAGCCAUGAAAGUCUGGUAGACCUGAAGCUGGUGCUCGUCACAGAAGCCAGUUAGGGUAGAACAGGUAA